This 468-nucleotide ribosomal RNA is filed under the name uncultured bacterium. RNAcentral's name for it is "partial 16S ribosomal RNA". It matches the Rfam family "Bacterial small subunit ribosomal RNA", at positions 28 to 507 of the family's 1533-position model. The record is from RNAcentral.
GACGAACGCUGGCGGCGUGCUUAACACAUGCAAGUCGAACGGAAAGGCCCUGCUUUUGUUGGGUGCUCGAGUGGCGAACGGGUGAGUAACACGUGAGUAACCUGCCCUUUACUUUGGGAUAACUUUAGGAAACUGGGGCUAAUACCGGAUAUGACCUCCUCCUGCAUGGGGGGGGGGGGAAAGUUUCGGCGGUUGGGGAUGGACUCGCGGCUUAUCAGCUUGUUGGUGGGGUAGUGGCAUACCAAGGCUUUGGCGGGUAGCCGGCCUGAGAGGGUGACCGGCCACAUUGGGACUGGGGUACGGGCCAGACUCCUACGGGAGGCAGGAGUGGGGAAUAUUGCACCAUGGGCGGAAGCCUGAUGCAGCAACGCCGCGUGCGGGAUGACGGCCUUCGGGUUGUAAACCGCUUUCGCCUGUGACGAAGCGUGAGUGACGGUAAUGGGUAAAGAAGCACCGGCUAACUACGUG